AAAAAAAAACCAAAAUAUU
RNAcentral lists this small RNA (19 nucleotides) under Arabidopsis thaliana (thale cress). Its description in RNAcentral is "ATSL139830". The record is from RNAcentral. Lineage: Eukaryota; Viridiplantae; Streptophyta; Magnoliopsida; Brassicales; Brassicaceae.